AGGGUUUGAUCAUGGCUCAGGACGAACGCUGGCGGUGCGCCUUAUGCAUACAAGUUGAGCGAAGCUUUUUUGUAGUUUACUACGAAAAAUGACUGAGCGGCGAACGGGUGAGUAACGCGUGAGCAAUCUACCUUAGUUACUGGGAUAGCCCGAGGAAACUCGGAUUAAUACCGGAUAUUCUUAUUUUUUCACAUGAAGUUUUAAGGAAAGGUCAGCCGAACUAAGAUGAGCUCGCGUUCUAUCAGCUAGUUGGUGGGGUAAAAGCCUACCAAGGCUACGACGGAUAGCUGGUCUGAGAGGACGAUCAGCCACACUGGGACUGAGACACGGCCCAGACUCCUACGGGAGGCUGCAGCAGGGAAUAUUGUGCAAUGAGCGAAAGCUUGACACAGCGACACCGCGUGUGGGAUGACGGUUCUAGGAUUGUAAACCACUUUCAGGAGGGAAGAAAAUGACGGUACCUCCACAAGAAGACCCGGCCAACUAUGUGCCAGCAGCCGCGGUAAUAC
Molecule: ribosomal RNA, 509 nt
Filed under: uncultured bacterium
Lineage: Bacteria
Description: bacterial SSU rRNA
Rfam family: Bacterial small subunit ribosomal RNA
Source: RNAcentral